AGCCCGCGCCUUUCUUCUUUUGCCUGCGCUGUUCUAUUUCUCCUUCGGCCGCCGCCGCCACUGCUGCACACAGCUGGUGUCGGUGCCGCGCUUUUACCCCCAAGUCGUUCCCGCAGCCUAUGGCCCAGGCCGCCUUGGGUAUUUCUGCUCAAGGUAACCACAUCCCUCUUUAAAAAUUCCGCCGAAAAAGAGAAGACGCUUUACCCGACUCUUUGGGCCGUUAUCUCACGGCGAACUUUCUGACCAAGUAUACAACUACCCAGAGGGCCUAGGAGAAGUGCUGUAUAGAGAGCAGUUCGACUUCAACGCUGAGCCACCUUGGGAACCUAGCUGAUGAUAGGGGGGUUCCAUCUCCCAACUUGUCCAUCUCUCCCUGUUCUACUUCCAGGGAGGUCUUCACUUCAGAAAUCCAAGACUCAUAUUCAUCCAGCUUGGUGUCAAGUGGGCUGUUGCUGCCAGAAUUAUCUUGUGAUUAUUUGAGAGAUGUAUCAGUUUCUUCUGAAGUACAAUCAACUGUAGAAGCCUUUGUAGCAGUUUGUUGCAUAUUCUAAGGACCCAGACAUAGGCUUGGUGG
This 574-nucleotide non-coding RNA is filed under the name Pan troglodytes (chimpanzee). RNAcentral also lists the same sequence under 2 other names. Lineage: Eukaryota; Metazoa; Chordata; Mammalia; Primates; Hominidae. The record is from RNAcentral.